CGAGCUGGAGGUGUCGCUGCCCAGCGUGGAGGUGGACGUGCAGGCCCCGGGCGGCAAGCUGCAGGGCGAGGUAUCUGCCAAAGCGUAUUCAUUAGAUGUGCCCUCUCUGCUGGUUCCAUGUUCGUUGUCUUCUGGUGGUGGGAUUAUUGUAUCCUCUAGUGAUGUUUUAAACCAUCAGAAGUUUGCUGAAAUUUUUUACCCUUUGGACUCUCACGAUAGAGAUAACCCUGAAGGUCACUUUCCAGUUGAAUCCCAUACGAGUUCUGAUGUGACGUAUUCUUCAGAUGCAGGGGACAGUAGGUUCAAGAUCUCUUCUGUUGAAGUACCUUCCUUCCAUUUUUCACAGUUUAAAGAAAUGAAGGGAGCUCCUGGGCCUGAAAAGCCUCGUCCUUCAGCCCUCCUUCCGCCUGCUCCCUCUGUAGGGCCUGAUCUGUCUCCUCUUGAGCCUGUGGAACAAGUUGUUUCAGGCUCACGCACAGCCAUGGUGCUGCCCAAGCUCACCCUCUCGGGUCUCCCUUCCUACAGCAGUGGGAGCUUUGACCUCACUUGUAGUGGGCCAGCAUCCUCGUUCCUCCCUCCUUCUGAGUGCGUGGCGCUCACCCAAUUCCCAGUUGCUGUGCUCGCGCCCGGAGGUCCCCAGAAUGGUGCUUCUGGGUCCCUAGCCUUGGCCCCUUCUGUCAGAUCACAGUGCUCUGCGGACCCCCAGGCUGAGCAGGAUCCUCAGGCCAGCCCCACUGGCCAGCACUCUUAUCUCGAAGAUCCCCUGUCUCUUAGGGUGACUUUCCCUAAAUUCCACAAACCACGGUUCAUGGUUCCAGUCCCACUUGCAGUGGCUCCUGAGGGAGGCACUGCUGAGUGCAGUCUGGCCCCGCCCCUUGGCCAAGAGCUGGGGCAGGACUCCUCUGCUCGUGCAGUUAAAGUGUCCCCACUGUCAGGCUCCCAGCCGGCACCCAGGGCUGCUCCUGCGUCACAGAUGUUGGAGGAGGCCCCAAGCCUGUCUGUAGAAGAAGCCUCUGCAGAAGGUGCUGAUGGGGAAGGGACUGGGGGUUCCUUCAAAACUCCUCGCUUCAAGCUGCCAUUGUUCAGCCGGUUGUCAAAGAAGGAGGCCAGACCAGCAGGAGAUACCUCACGCCAACUGGAGGAUCACUCAGGCAGCCUCACUGUGGAUCUGGGUCAUGAGGACUUCUACCCUGGGGUUCAGGGCUCCUGCAUGGAGGCACAUGAGGCCCCUCCUCCAGGGAAGGAAGGCGAUUUGGGGAAGACCAGGAAGGCUGGCUUCACGCUCCCAAGACUGGCCCUUCCCAAGUUGAAGGCGUCCAAGGUACAGGCUGGUCUGAAGCCACAGGGAGACGCAGACACACUGCUUUCUAGCAGCGCAGCCACAGGAACCCAGCGGGAGGCCUUUAGAGCCCCAGGCUCCUGCGGCAGAGAGGUGCACCCUCACCAGGGCGGAGGAGAAAACAGAGCUGCAGCCCUCCCUGCCAGAAGGGCCUGUGACGCUGAGGGUGUCCAGCACCAACGUGCCAUCCCAGGUCUCCGUGGUGGACAUGCGGCAGCUCUGGGAAGACUCUGUGCUCACAGUCACAUUCCCCAAGCUCCGAGUGCCCAAGUUUUCCUUCCCAGCCCCUGGCUCAGAGGCAGACAUCUUCUUCCCCGUGGUGAGAGACGAGCGGGGAAGAGGGGUAGGUGUGGACCCGGGGCCCGGGCUCUGGGAUGCCAGCCUCCUGAGGGCGGGCCCUGGGGAGCCCAGGGAGCAGCCUGCAGGCCCUGACCAAGCCUUGGAAGCCUCCCCAGUGUCCAAGGUGAAGGUGCACAUCCAGGGGGCGCAGGGCGAGAGUCGCGAGGUCAUGGUGUGCAGCCAGGUGAGGCGAGAGUGUGUGGAGCUCAUGGUCCCCGAGACCAUUUCCACUCAGAUGGUGCGGGAGUCAGAGAUCCACACAUCCACUAUGCAGACGCCUUCUUAUGGGUUUUCUUUGCUGAAGCUGAAGCCCCUAGGGCCUCCUGCUCAAGCUCCAGAUCCCAGGGCACAGGAGGGCUCUGCUGCCGCCAGAGCAGACUCCUUCCCUGAGGACAGUGCCCCUGAGGCCGCAGAGCCAUUCGAGGUGCUCUCUGCCAGUGCCAGCCUCCCCAGGCCGCCGACGAUAGGGUCUGAAGUUCCUGCCAGGGCCCCGACUGCAGACAGUGGCUCUGACGAUGAAGAGCCUGCAGAGAUCCUCGAGUUUCUGCCCGAGGACAGUGAGGAGGCUGCAGCACCACCAGCGGCUGAAGACAGAGCUCUGAAAGGCAGGCCAGGAGGAAAAAAGCCUGGUGCGUUCUGGUCCUGGCUUCCGAGCAUCGGGUUCUCCUCCACUGUCAGCGACACCACUGCCGACUCCAGAGAAGACACCCAAGGAUCUGUUCCUGUCCAGACCCAGCCAGGGCCUCGGCCAGACUUGGAAUCGCCUAAGAGGCAGGAGAGAGUGGGCUGGUUCCGGUUUCCCAAAUUAGGGUUCUCCUCCUCGCCCACCAAGAAGACGAAAAGUGUAGAGGACGAGACAGGCGUGGCUGAGCAGCUGCUCCAGGAAGAAAGUGUCACCUUCUUUGACGCCCGGGAAAGCUUCUCCCCUGAGGAGAAGGAAGGUGAGCCAGGCGUGAGCGCCCCAGGCACCACCGGCAUGGUGGCCUCCCCAGCGAGAACGGAGUUGAUCCUGUUGGAGCCAGACCCUCACGCCAGCGAGGAAUCUGAACCCAGGCCCACGAGCAAAUGAAGGCUGCACAGGUGCAACAUCAGGGCAGUGGCUGGGCACCUGCACAGAGCUCCCUGUCCUGGCCCUGCACAGCACCCCAAUUCACAGAGCUGAGCAAAGCAGAGGCCGACAGCACCUCACACUGCCCUAAACAGAACCCAAUAUGCACCAGCUCCUGCCGGGCUUCGGAGGCAAAGAAGCCACCUAGAUUCUUCCCAAUGCAGACCUAGUGUCUGCGUGUCCUGCUGCUCCUCCAGCGUGCUCAGCCCUGAACCCUGAACCCAGAACCCAGAACCCAGCUUGUACAGCUGCACCAGGCCCCGGUGGAGCAGGCUUAGUGGUCCCCUGGUGGCAAUAAAGGAAGCAGUGCGUCCCAGUGAUAAAGGCUGAUGAGCUCUUUUGUUCUGGGGGCCAAACUCACCGUGCCUGCUC
Chinchilla lanigera (long-tailed chinchilla) is the source of this 3158-nucleotide long non-coding RNA. The record is from Ensembl. Lineage: Eukaryota; Metazoa; Chordata; Mammalia; Rodentia; Chinchillidae.